AACUCCUACGGGAGGCAGCAGUGGGGAAUAUUGCACAAUGGGGGAAACCCUGAUGCAGCGACGCCGCGUGAGCGAUGAAGUAUUUCGGUAUGUAAAGCUCUAUCAGCAGGGAAGAAAAUGACGGUACCUGACUAAGAAGCACCGGCUAAAUACGUGCCAGCAGCCGCGGUAAUACGUAUGGUGCAAGCGUUAUCCGGAUUUACUGGGUGUAAAGGGAGCGUAGACGGAGUGGCAAGUCUGAUGUGAAAACCCGGGGCUCAACCCCGGGACUGCAUUGGAAACUGUCAAUCUAGAGUACCGGAGAGGUAAGCGGAAUUCCUAGUGUAGCGGUGAAAUGCGUA
Molecule: ribosomal RNA, 341 nt
Filed under: uncultured bacterium
Lineage: Bacteria
Description: bacterial SSU rRNA
Rfam family: Bacterial small subunit ribosomal RNA
Source: RNAcentral